CAAUUAAUAGUUUAUAAAAACAUUAGCCUUGGGGGCUAAAGAGCGGCAAUAAGUCGUUAUUUGA
Molecule: transfer RNA, 64 nt
Filed under: Spathoderma clenchi
Lineage: Eukaryota; Metazoa; Mollusca; Caudofoveata; Chaetodermatida; Prochaetodermatidae
Description: tRNA-Pro
Source: RNAcentral